This is a small nucleolar RNA of Xenopus tropicalis (tropical clawed frog), 205 nucleotides long. Its record names the gene SNORA74. It matches the Rfam family "Small nucleolar RNA SNORA74". From Rfam's summary of the family: U19 belongs to the H/ACA class of snoRNAs. snoRNAs bind a number of proteins (including dyskerin, Gar1p and Nop10p in the case of the H/ACA class) to form snoRNP complexes. This class are thought to guide the sites of modification of uridines to pseudouridines by forming direct base pairing interactions with substrate RNAs. Targets may include ribosomal and spliceosomal RNAs but the exact functions of many snoRNAs, including U19, are not confirmed. The record is from Ensembl. Lineage: Eukaryota; Metazoa; Chordata; Amphibia; Anura; Pipidae.
CCCAGCAGUAGUCAGCUGUACAGUGCUUACCAGUGACUGUAAUAGUGUUACACUGCUGGCAGAUAAAGAUAUAGCCAUUAUAUUCUAGAUGCCCAUGGCACCGUUCUGGUUUCAUGUGACUCUAGUGUCUGGUUAUGUUUUGCUCCCUUGAGAGUGCGCCUUGAUCUUACUUUGACCAUUAGGUGCUAGAUUGGAAGCAAACAAC